CAGCCUGUAAAGUCUGAAGAUCCCAUCGACAUCUUAAACAUAAAGCUAAAGCGUAUCAAAAUAUAUUUCAAAGGAUGGGGGGCUCACUCCUUUAGGCAUGCUAGGAAAAGGAAAAAGUACAUUAAAGAAGAACUGGAGAGAAUAGAAAAGAUGGAAGAAAAUGGCCCCCUUGGUCCAGAAAUUUAUGAAGAGAGAACUGCCUUGUGUGCAGAAUUAAACGAGCUCCUGAUUACGGAAGAGUUGUUUUGGUUACAACACUCCAAUGAGAGUUGGUUGCUCAAAGGAGAUCAAAACACGGCCUUCUACCAUAGAGUUGCAAAUGGGAGGAAGAGAAAAAAUACUAUUCACUCAUUCGCUGCGGGGGAGGUGGUGAUUGAGGGUACACAGAACCUACUAGCACACGCAACCUCGUUCUACAAAGAACUUUUUGGCCCUGCUAGGGGCAACAUGUUUCACUUAUCUGCUGAUACGUGGUCGGAAGAGGAAAAACUUAGUGAGGAAGAUAACAUCUUGCUCACUAGUGAAUUCACAGAGGAGGAGGUGAAGAGAGCUUUGUUCAGGAUGGGAUGUAACCGAGCACCAGGGCCGGAUAACAUCCCAGCAGAAUUCUAUAUGCACUGUUGGGAGUUUGUGAAAAAAUAUAUCAUGCACUUGUUCGAAGCUUUCCAUUCGAACAAGUUAGACAUAGCUCGUCUGAACUAUGGCAUUAUUACUCUAAUUCCCAAGAUGAAAGGAGCAAAGAAAAUACAGCAGUAUCGUCCAAUAUGUCUUCUGAGAUGCCCAUAUAAGCUUAUCACCAAGGUCUUAGAUAACCAGGUGGAAUGUUUGCUGAUAUUCUGA
RNAcentral lists this ribosomal RNA (840 nucleotides) under Triticum aestivum (bread wheat). Its description in RNAcentral is "partial small subunit ribosomal RNA". Lineage: Eukaryota; Viridiplantae; Streptophyta; Magnoliopsida; Poales; Poaceae. The record is from RNAcentral.